Molecule: long non-coding RNA, 252 nt
Filed under: Gossypium barbadense (sea-island cotton)
Lineage: Eukaryota; Viridiplantae; Streptophyta; Magnoliopsida; Malvales; Malvaceae
Description: long non-coding RNA (GBAR_LNC000976)
Source: RNAcentral
CUCACUAUUCAUCAUCCUCUUCUUCAAAAUCCCUAACCCUAGCUGCUGCAACUUCAUACGCCCUACCUACCACGCCCGUGCGCCGACUACAACACCACUUUUGAUGAUCCAAAGCUCCUCCCUCUUGCGUUUGUUCAUUUUUUCACUCUAUUUUCUUCAUUCUUUCACUUAUUUCAUGAUAUUUUGUUUUUAUUUUGAGCACAUAAUCAUAGUUAUCAUGAUAGAAACUUGUCAUGUUGUGUUGCAUUCAUG